GCGGAAGGAUCAUUCAUAAUAAGUGUUUUAUGGCACUUUUUAAUCCAUAUCCACCUUGUGUGCAAUGUCAGUCGAUCUUCUUCAUGGAGAUCGACCAAACAUCAACCUUUAUUUUUUAACUCUUUGUCUGAAAAAUAUUAUGAAUAAACAAUUCAAAAUACAACUUUCAACAACGGAUCUCUUGGCUCUCGCAUCGAUGAAGAACGCAGCGAAAUGCGAUACGUAAUGUGAAUUGCAGAAUUCAGUGAAUCAUCGAAUCUUUGAACGCAUAUUGCGCUCUUUGGUAUUCCGAAGAGCAUGCUUGUUUGAGUAUCAGUAAACACCUCAAAGCUUUUGGAUUUUUUAAUCGAAAAGCUUUGGACUUGAGCAAUCCCAACACCAAUCUUUUUGAGAUCGGUGGCGGGUUGCUUGAAAUGCAGGUGCAGCUGGACAUUCUCCUGAGCUAAAAGCAUAUUCAUUUAGUCCCGUCAAACGGAUUAUUACUUUUGCUGCAGCUAACAUAAAGGGAGUUUGACCGUAUUGGCUGACUGAUGCAGGAUUUCACAAGGGUCGGCAACGAUUCUUGUUAAACUCGAUCUCAAAUCAAGUAAGACUACCCGCUGAACUUAAGCAUAUCAAUAAGCGGAGGA
RNAcentral lists this ribosomal RNA (629 nucleotides) under Linnemannia elongata. Its description in RNAcentral is "eukaryotic LSU rRNA". The stretch from base 162 to 315 matches the Rfam family "5.8S ribosomal RNA". The record is from RNAcentral. Lineage: Eukaryota; Fungi; Mortierellomycota; Mortierellomycetes; Mortierellales; Mortierellaceae.